This 250-nucleotide ribosomal RNA is filed under the name uncultured bacterium. RNAcentral describes it as "partial 16S ribosomal RNA". It matches the Rfam family "Bacterial small subunit ribosomal RNA", at positions 30 to 278 of the family's 1533-position model. The record is from RNAcentral.
AUUGAACGCUGGCGGCAUGCCUUACACAUGCAAGUCGAACGGCAGCACGGGGGCGAACCCUGGUGGCGAGUGGCGAACGGGUGAGUAAUACAUCGGAACGUGCCCCGUACGCGGGGGACGAACCAGUCGAAAGACUGGCUAAUACCGCAUACGCUCCACGGAGGAAAGCAGGGGAUCGCAAGACCUUGCACUAUGGGAGCGGCCGAUGCCCGAUUAGCUAGUUGGUGAGGUAAAGGCUCACCAAGCAACG